Molecule: ribosomal RNA, 567 nt
Filed under: uncultured bacterium
Lineage: Bacteria
Description: partial 16S ribosomal RNA
Rfam family: Bacterial small subunit ribosomal RNA
Source: RNAcentral
UGGGGAAUUUUGGACAAUGGGCGAAAGCCUGAUCCAGCAAUGCCGCGUGUGUGAAGAAGGCCUUCAGGUUGUAAAGCACUUUUGUCCGGAAAGAAAUGGCUCUGGUUAAUACCUGGGGUCGAUGACGGUACCGGAAGAAUAAGGACCGGCUAACUACGUGCCAGCAGCCGCGGUAAUACGUAGGGUCCAAGCGUUAAUCGGAAUUACUGGGCGUAAAGCGUGCGCAGGCGGUUGUGCAAGACCGAUGUGAAAUCCCCGAGCUUAACUUGGGAAUUGCAUUGGUGACUGCACGGCUAGAGUGUGUCAGAGGGGGGUAGAAUUCCACGUGUAGCAGUGAAAUGCGUAGAGAUGUGGAGGAAUACCGAUGGCGAAGGCAGCCCCCUGGGAUAACACUGACGCUCAUGCACGAAAGCGUGGGGAGCAAACAGGAUUAGAUACCCUGGUAGUCCACGCCCUAAACGAUGUCAACUAGUUGUUGGGGAUUCAUUUCCUUAGUAACGUAGCUAACGCGUGAAGUUGACCGCCUGGGGAGUACGGUCGCAAGAUUAAAAGCUCAAAGGAAUUGAC